Long non-coding RNA from Thamnophis elegans (Western terrestrial garter snake), 1046 nucleotides. RefSeq lists it as uncharacterized. The record is from RefSeq and is a predicted model, not a curated record. The transcript has 9 exons. Lineage: Eukaryota; Metazoa; Chordata; Lepidosauria; Squamata; Natricidae.
CAAAACAGUCACAAAUGAAAAAAGACAUACCAUACACUAAAUCAAAGCAAAAGCAGAAACGUUUCCAGCUUUAAUGACCUUGAAACCUGCAGCAAGUCCAGAUUUCAAAACUUCACAACAGAGAUUGAAACAGAGGACGACUCUACUUACGUUGAACCGAUCUCUUCACAUCAUUACCACAAUUGGCAACCAAGUGAUGAUGAUUCCCACGGAUACCAAAAUGUGAUUGAGGCAAUCAAAAGCAAUAAACUUGUGGCAGAUGAAGACAUCUAUGAGAACAAGAUAGCAAUUCAGAUAUGGAAGCAGGGACAGACAUUAGAAAGCGACAGUAGUAGUGAAGAAGAAUCUAUUUACAUCAAUACAGAACAAUAUAGCAGGCGGUAACAUGGCUUCCCUCUAAAACCAUCGAAUGCUGGGGUGUCAAAGUCGUGUCGUCACGGUGGUGUCACGUGACAUCGGGACUCCCCCCCCUUUGCUAAACCGAGUGAGGGCGGGGUCAGCACGUGACACAUCUGGCCUGUGGGCUGCAAGUUUGACACCGCUGAUCUAAUGUGACUUCCAAUUGCAUUAAAAAUACAUUUAAACCUCAUCCUGAGAAUGAAGAGUUGCAUUUUCAUUUUUCCAGUUCUCAAAGGAGCAAUGCCCAUUUGUGAGAAAUUGGUAUCCUAAAUCUACUUCUUUUCUAAUGGAUUAACCUGGGAUCCAGGCAGUAACUUUCCACCUGUGAUUGAAAUCUUCAAGGGCCUAAAUCCAAGAGGAAUGAAAGCAUCCCAACGCCAACAUACCAGAAGACGGGAUACCAACACUGAACUAGUUUACAGGAUUGUUAUACCUUGUUCUUUCAACAUCUUCCUGGCCAUACUUUCAGCGUCUGUUAUUUCUGACUCACUUUCCAGACCUUAACAAAAUUUAUCACAAUGUCCCAGAUAGUGAAUCUUGCUAGUGAAUAUUUAUGAGGCAUGUAUGGACUUUAGGAUAAUUUUUAGAAAUCUGCAGAAACGACAAGCCGCCACAUCAUUAAAUAAAUAAAAUGUUAACAAAAUAGA